GGACUCCAUCCAAACUUCCAUAGCGGAUGGAUCCCGAAUGAGCUUCUACAACAGACGGGCUCCAGCAGCUGGAUUUCUACAACGGCCGAUCACCUCCGGUGUCUGCCGAACCUCCCCAUCCAUCAACCUUCAAUAGCGUCAGCCAGACUUCAGCAACACCAUCCAGACUUCCACAGGAUCCCCAGACUCCCCCAGCGGACAAACCUCCCCAA
This 212-nucleotide long non-coding RNA is filed under the name Elaeis guineensis (African oil palm). RNAcentral describes it as "long non-coding RNA (EGUI_LNC053623)". The record is from RNAcentral. Lineage: Eukaryota; Viridiplantae; Streptophyta; Magnoliopsida; Arecales; Arecaceae.